AUUGAACGCUGGCGGCAUGCCUUACACAUGCAAGUCGAGCGGCAGCGCGGGGGCAACCCUGGCGGCGAGCGGCGGACGGGUGAGUAAUGCAUCGGAACGUGUCCUCUUGUGGGGGAUAACCAGUCGAAAGAUUGGCUAAUACCGCAUGAGCUCGUAAGAGGAAAGCGGGGGAUCCGUAAGGACCUCGCGCGAGAGGAGCGGCCGAUGCCCGAUUAGCUAGNGGUGGGGUAACGGCCUACCAAGGCGACGAUCGGUAGCUGGUCUGAGAGGAAGAUCAGCCACACUGGGACUGAGACACGGCCCAGACUCCUACGGGAGGCAGCAGUUGGGAAUCUUGGACAAUGGGGGAACCCUGAUCCAGCCAUGCCGCGUGAGUGAUGAAGGCC
This 386-nucleotide ribosomal RNA is filed under the name uncultured bacterium. RNAcentral's name for it is "bacterial SSU rRNA". It matches the Rfam family "Bacterial small subunit ribosomal RNA", at positions 29 to 416 of the family's 1533-position model. The record is from RNAcentral.